Molecule: long non-coding RNA, 829 nt
Filed under: Numida meleagris (helmeted guineafowl)
Lineage: Eukaryota; Metazoa; Chordata; Aves; Galliformes; Numididae
Description: lncRNA (ENSNMEG00000000218.1)
Source: RNAcentral
AGCCUGUAUGUCUGCAAGGAGCUGCCACUUCUAAGCAGAGGCCUUGUAUGACUCCAAGGGUUUCCUGAGCUCAAGCAGUUAUUGAUGCCAGCUGGACCUCUGGAGAGGCAUUUCUCUGAGUUAGUCUGGCCAAGUACAAAUAAGUCACAAGCCUGUCUUCCAAGCCCAGCUUUAAGAUAGCCUCCCCAAAUCACCAGCCUCUCACCUCUGGAGUACAGCUUGCUUGUUCCUAGCACAAGGCUCAGGUCAUAGCCCUUUACUGCUGAGUUUCUGCCAUCAGCCUAUGCCUCUAAAAGCAACUGCAGGAGGAAGCCAGUGUCCCAAGGGCACCAUUAGCUUUGUUACUAUGAGCAGCCUCACCUGGGGCUCACCCACACCUGCUGGCACUAAUUAAGAACAGCCCUGGGCAUCUAGAACCUUCUCAGAGCUGUGCUGCUGCUUCUCUAGACGUGUCUCUUGCACGGACCUCAUCUAAGCCAAUGAUGUGCCAAAUAAGGUGCAUCAAAGAGGAUUGCAUACAUGGGCUGCUGCUGAACUGUGAGCUGUUCUCUUUUGGAGCUGGAUGUGACGACCCUUGGGGGUCCCUUCCAACUCAGGAUAUUCUGAUUGCUGGACUGCUGCUUACAGCUCUUCACAGCCCUCCUACUUGUUCUUGUUCGCUGCAUCUGUUUGAAAGCGUCUUGAAGAUGAAGUUAUUUCCUGGAGGAAUUCUGAUGGUGCAAUCUGCCCUUUUUCUUUAGCUGAAGAAGGAUGGAGGAAAAUUUCUGGCUUCUGAAAUCAUACAAACUCCCCACUGAUGUCUGCGUGAGAAAAGGAAGAUCUAAGUGAG